This 301-nucleotide ribosomal RNA is filed under the name uncultured bacterium. RNAcentral's name for it is "partial 16S ribosomal RNA". It matches the Rfam family "Bacterial small subunit ribosomal RNA", at positions 509 to 807 of the family's 1533-position model. The record is from RNAcentral.
CAGUAGCCGCGGUAAAACGAAGGGGGCUAGCGUUGUUCGGAAUUACUGGGCGUAAAGCGCACGUAGGCGGACAUUUAAGUCAGGGGUGAAAUCCCGGGGCUCAACCCCGGAACUGCCUUUGAUACUGGGUGUCUAGAGUAUGGAAGAGGUGAGUGGAAUUCCGAGUGUAGAGGUGAAAUUCGUAGAUAUUCGGAGGAACACCAGUGGCGAAGGCGGCUCACUGGUCCAUUACUGACGCUGAGGUGCGAAAGCGUGGGGAGCAAACAGGAUUAGAUACCCGCGUAGUCCCUGUCUCUUAUAC